GGAGCGUUCUGUAAGCCUGCGAAGGUGUGCUGUGAGGCAUGCUGGAGGUAUCAGAAGUGCGAAUGCUGACAUAAGUAACGAUAAAGCGGGUGAAAAGCCCGCUCGCCGGAAGACCAAGGGUUCCUGUCCAACGUUAAUCGGGGCAGGGUGAGUCGACCCCUAAGGCGAGGCCGAAAGGCGUAGUCGAUGGGAAACAGGUUAAUAUUCCUGUACUUGGUGUUACUGCGAAGGGGGGACGGAGAAGGCUAUGUUGGCCGGGCGACGGUUGUCCCGGUUUAAGCGUGUAGGCUGGUUUUCCAGGCAAAUCCGGAAAAUCAAGGCUGAGGCGUGAUGACGAGGCACUACGGUGCUGAAGCAACAAAUGCCCUGCUUCCAGGAAAAGCCUCUAAGCAUCAGGUAACAUCAAAUCGUACCCCAAACCGACACAGGUGGUCAGGUAGAGAAUACCAAGGCGCUUGAGAGAACUCGGGUGAAGGAACUAGGCAAAAUGGUGCCGUAACUUCGGGAGAAGGCACGCUGAUAUGUAGGUGAAGUCCCUUGCGGAUGGAGCUGAAAUCAGUCGAAGAUACCAGCUGGCUGCAACUGUUUAUUAAAAACACAGCACUGUGCAAACACGAAAGUGGACGUAUACGGUGUGACGCCUGCCCGGUGCCGGAAGGUUAAUUGAUGGGGUCAGCGCAAGCGAAGCUCUUGAUCGAAGCCCCGGUAAACGGCGGCCGUAACUAUAACGGUCCUAAGGUAGCGAAAUUCCUUGUCGGGUAAGUUCCGACCUGCACGAAUGGCGUAAUGAUGGCCAGGCUGUCUCCACCCGAGACUCAGUGAAAUUGAACUCGCUGUGAAGAUGCAGUGUACCCGCGGCAAGACGGAAAGACCCCGUGAACCUUUACUAUAGCUUGACACUGAACAUUGAGCCUUGAUGUGUAGGAUAGGUGGGAGGCUUUGAAGUGUGGACGCCAGUCUGCAUGGAGCCGGCCUUGAAAUACCACCCUUUAAUGUUUGAUGUUCUAACGUGGACCCGUGAUCCGGGUUGCGGACAGUGUCUGGUGGGUAGUUUGACUGGGGCGGUCUCCUCCUAAAGAGUAACGGAGGAGCACGAAGGUUGGCUAAUCCUGGUCGGACAUCAGGAGGUUAGUGCAAUGGCAUAAGCCAGCUUGACUGCGAGCGUGACGGCGCGAGCAGGUGCGAAAGCAGGUCAUAGUGAUCCGGUGGUUCUGAAUGGAAGGGCCAUCGCUCAACGGAUAAAAGGUACUCCGGGGAUAACAGGCUGAUACCGCCCAAGAGUUCAUAUCGACGGCGGUGUUUGGCACCUCGAUGUCGGCUCAUCACAUCCUGGGGCUGAAGUAGGUCCCAAGGGUAUGGCUGUUCGCCAUUUAAAGUGGUACGCGAGCUGGGUUUAGAACGUCGUGAGACAGUUCGGUCCCUAUCUGCCGUGGGCGCUGGAGAAC
RNAcentral lists this ribosomal RNA (1445 nucleotides) under Shigella sonnei. RNAcentral describes it as "partial 23S ribosomal RNA". It matches the Rfam family "Bacterial large subunit ribosomal RNA", at positions 1233 to 2662 of the family's 2925-position model. Lineage: Bacteria; Pseudomonadati; Pseudomonadota; Gammaproteobacteria; Enterobacterales; Enterobacteriaceae. The record is from RNAcentral.